CCAAAAAUUCACAAAGCACCGAAGCUUAUUACAUUGCCGUCUAAUCAAGGAGGAAGGACUGACUUUUAUAUAAACACAUCACUGAAAGUAGAAGAAAAUAAAAUGACUUAUGUGGAGCCAACAACACUCGUAUAAGCCAUAAGCGCAUUAACGCAAUUCAAUUUGCUCUGUUUACGUAGCAGCAAAAACAACUGGCUCGACAGCAACAGCAGCCGCAACAGCACGAGCCAUACAAAGCCCAUCAAACAAUGUAGGUGGCGCCACCUGUGUGCGAGCUAUAGCAACAAAAAACAAUACAACCAGAGACGGUCAUAUGCCGAAAAGUCCAUGAUGUCCAUGAAUCGAUGUCCACGUUUAGAGACCACGUCCAAUGGCCUAUUAUCAUGCAGCAACGGCAGCUAC
Molecule: long non-coding RNA, 402 nt
Organism: Drosophila hydei
Lineage: Eukaryota; Metazoa; Arthropoda; Insecta; Diptera; Drosophilidae
Exons: 3
Source: RefSeq, a predicted model, not a curated record